CUCAAGGCCACACCCUUGUGCCUAGCUGCCUCAUCUCCCUCCCAGCUGCCAGGGAGGGACGGCUCCAUGGGCAGUGCCACGGGUGCCAGCUGCCCAGCCAGGAUGCAGGUGAGUAAGACAGCACCUCCUCCACCCUCCUAUGGUGGAACCAAGGCAGGCCUGAUUCUUUGCCAUUGUUUUCAAGGAAGCUAGCUGUAAUGAGCAACUUCCCAGUCUGUUUAAGAUAGAAAGCAGGUCGGGGUCUCCCCGCUCCCAGGCCGUCUCUCACUGUCUCUCUUCACCCUGGGCCAGCACCAACACUCCGUGCUGUGGACACCCUGAUGGUGAUAGGGGAGGGGCUGUGUGCUUCCAGCCCUGGGCCUGUCUUCUUCCUUCCCCAGAAGUGUCCUUUCCUCUCCCCCCUCAUGGCUCUUGGAUGUCAUCAACACCCCACUCAGUCAUUUUGCAGUCUUCUCACGGGCACGGAAAGGUGUGGCUGGCUUCCUUCACCUUUCUGAGGCUCACUGGAAACUUGGGGUGAUCCAUGCUACUUGCCCAGCCCCAACACCACCCCUUCUUGCUGUCAUCUCAGUGAGGCUUUUGGCAACACAGUUCCAGAAGGGACUGGAAAAUGCAAGUCUGCUCUGUUCUGGGACACCCAAACUAAAAAGGGACUUCACUCAUCCCUACCACCCCACCUCUGCCCAAGACACUCUCCCCAAUAACUGACUCUCUUGGCUCCCUCCUUUACCUCUUUUCUCUCUCUCUCUUUCUUUCCAGAACCUCCCAGUCGAACAGGAAAAUGGGGAGAGUUGGAAACAGCCUUGUUGACAUGGUCUCAUUCUCUUUCUCAAUUCUUCUGCUCUAUAGUUUUUGGACUUAGAAAUCAGUAAUUCACCUGGUCUGUGGGUUCUUCAGAGAUCCCUGAACACUGGGUGGUAUAAGCUGUCUGGGCAGUGGAAAAAAGGUCUUUGGGGUAUAAUGAGCAAAGCUGGCACUCAAUGGGCAUCAAAGGGAAGCACAUCAGUGAAGAUGGUGCGGAUCAUCCCACCACAUCAAAACCCUGGAACGCGAUAUCCGUUACCAGAAUUCAGGGCCAGGGCUUUCUUCCCCUGAACAGGAUGUCCUUCCGUUAGCCCCGGGAGAUCGUGGUGUCCUGCAGGACCAGCUGGACCCUGGAAGGCCGGUGGGCCCUGAUGUUCAUGCGGAAUUCUUUGAUGACAAAGUAGUAGCAGAAAACAUCCAGGCAGCAGUUGACGUUGGAGAAACACAUGGACAAUUGCAAGAAGAAGCUGAUGCUCUGCUUGGCUCUGCACUCUACGAUAAAGCUGUUUCUCACCAGGAACUGCAGGAAGAACCCCAGGUGGACUGGGAGGAAGGAGACCACGAAGACAGCCAGGCUGGCUGCGAUGCUGUAGAUGCAGGCUUUCUGCUGCACCCAGUCCUGGGUGUGGUCUCGGCGGCCCAGCAGGAUGUGGAUGCUCCUGGAGCAGCAGAAGCCCAUGAUGCCCAUGGGAAGGAGGAAGCCAAACACCUCCAGCGGGAAGAAGACCUUGGCGCUCCAGGUAUCAUCAGACAUGUUGUGGAAGCACAUGUAUUUUUCCACUUUCCCAUGGAAACUGUAGAUAGGGAUGCUUCCGGUCCACACCAGGACCCAGAUGGUGCAGCAGAUCCCAAAGAUCUUCCUGGGGGACCGGAGGUGGCUCACCAGUAGCGGGUAACGGAUGGCCAAGAACCGGUCCAUGCUGAUGAAGCAGAUGGUGAAGACGCUUCCGUACAUGCUGACGAAGUAAAGGCACUCCACCAGGGUGCACAGGGACGGGAAGGGGGACUGUACCUGGGACAGGACCAUCUUGAAUGGGAGGGAGAGCACCAGCAGCAGGUCAAAGACUGCCAGGUUGAUCAUGUAGAUGGAGGUGGCAGCAUAAUCGGGCCACCUGUUCUUAAGGAAGGUGCUGAAGCCAUGGAUGGCCAGCAGGUUGAGGAGCAGGCCCAGGACGAAGGUGGGGAUGUGGACUGCAAACUGUAGGGUUUUCAUCAGCUCGUUGACACCGUCAAACAGGCAGUCCCCACUGGUGUUUUGCUGACUCAUGUUUCUUCCUACAACACCAACAGAUCAGACGGGGCUCCUUUCACUCUCUUGAAGUGAUGGAUUCAAAUGACUUUGUCAAGAAUCACAAACACCUCCCCAGCAUCACACAGCAAUUCAUGCCCAUUGAAUCACAACUAGAACACAGAAAAGAAAAAUUACCUUUAAUCCUGCUGCCCAGAUGCAACCACUGUUACUUUUUGUGUAUAUCAUUCCAGACUCGCUUUCUCACUCUCUUUCUACCAUACACACAUUUUUCUUUGACAAAUAUAGAACCUGCUGUGCAUGGACAUCUGUCUUUUAAAUCAGAACUCCUUUUGUUGAAAGAAGUAACAGCACAUACCCAGACCCAAACAGGCUGAAGCAAAGAGACAGUUUCACAUAAUGGAAAACAUGAAAACUAGGGUAGGGCUGACUUCAGGAGCAGCUGGAUCAGGGAUUCAAAUGCUGUUUCCAGGACUCAGCUCCUUUUGUCUCCUUUGUCCUCCUCCCACCCACUUUCCUGAUGGUUGGACACAGUCAACCUGCAACCAGGGAUGAUUGACACCAGAGCGUUGCAUUCCCCUGGACACAGUAGCUGGUUAGUUCAUUGGUUCAGGGACAGAUAUUUGACUCUCCAAGAAGCCAUGAUAAUCAACACAACUUUUGCUUGGGUUUCCAGGCAGAGGGUUGGAGUCCCUUGUCAGGGAUUCAUAGUUGCCAAGAUAUAAGGUCUGCAGCUGCUGCAGCCUCUUGUACCCCAAAGAGAAAACCAGACAGAAAAUGGAGAGAUAUGGGAGAAAUGGCAUUCCCAGAAGGAAUGGAGCGGGGCCCUGAGGUCUCCACAGGGCAAGGAAAGGCCUUUUGUCGGGCAGAAAAUUAGAAGUGGCCUCAGGGACGGGAGGACCAAGGCUGCAGGUGUGGUUGCACAGGGGUGUGGUCCGAGCCUGGUCAAUUUGGGGUGAGGGGGUGAGUGCCAUUGUGGGGUUCUGCAUCAAGGUAUGUAGCCCUGGAGCAGGAAAAAACCAAGUGUUCAAUCCAGGCAUCCAGAACCAGGUUGCUAGAAGGACUCAAAUACGACCCAACUUCCACCCUCUCCCCACUUGCCCGCCUCUGCCCACCUCCCUGCUCCCUCCUUUCUCACCCACUCUUCCCUCUCCCCACAUGUGAGGCCAUGCUGCUGGUGUACUUGACUUGGACUGGCCUUAGACAUGGAAUGUGCCACAUUCACUAGAGCACAGGGGCAUGGCAUGGAAAGGACAUUUAUGCCUGGCAUCUUCCUUAACCACUUCGGCAGAAAGCAGCUGGGUGAGCAAGUGCGGCCAGGUCCUGCCGUGAGACCCACCUUCCUGUGCCUCUCCCACCUCCCAUGACUUCCUGGCUAGCAGGUGCUGAGAUCCCAAGAUAUCGAUGUAUCAGGGAGGAGACAUCAGCAUGGACUCCCACCAGAGAAUCCCAUACUAGUGACCACUGCAGCUAUUUAUUUUUAUUUUUAUUUUUAUUGUUUUUGAGAUGGAGUCUCACUCUGUCACCCAGGCUGGAGUGCAGUGGCACAAUCUUGGCUCACUGCAACCUCUGCCUCCCCAGUUCAAGCGAUUCUCCUGCCUCAGUCUCCUUCAUAGCUGGGAUUACAGGCAUGCACCACCACGCUCACCACCCCUGGCUAAUUUUUUGUAUUUUUAGUAGAGAUCAGUUUUCACCAUGUUGACCAGGCUGGUCUUGAACUCCUGACCUCAGGUGAUCCACCCACCUCGGCCUCCCAAAGUGCUGGGAUUACAGGCGGGAGGCCCCGCACCUGUUCCUAAAACUUCUGUUAUUAAUUAAAGCUUCUGUUAUUAUUUUUCAUAGCUUUUUAUUAAUUUUAAAAGUAUUCCAGGCGCUCAAUAAGAUAUUCGAAGAGAACAAAAGAACAAGCGUAGGAAAGUCAGCCUCCUUGUACCCUAAGGCCUCAACUGUCCUUUUCAAAGGCAGCAUGGCUUACAGCUUCUUGCAUAUUCCUCCCAGACAUUUUCUAAGUAGAUACAUAUAUGCAAAUAUAUGCAUGCAUACAUAUACAUGUAUGACUUCUUUAAAAUUUGGAAAUAAUAUACCUAGAGCCCCUGUCCCUUGCUUUUUCGCUCAUCAAUGUUUCUUGGACAUUGGUCUAUAUCAGCAUAUAUGAAUGGCUUGUUUGCCUCCCAUUGUGUAGGUAUACCAAAACUCAUUUAGCCAGUAGCUUAUUCAUAAACAUUUAGGUUUCCAGUAUUUUACCAGGAAACAAUGAAUUCCACAAUAAGCAUUCCUAUGACUUAUUUCUUUGCUGUGCAGCUAUUGCUAACAGAAUUCUCAUUCUGCUAUUGUUUCUCAUCACUAUUGGGCGCCCGUGGGAGGAAAAAAUUGGGGUGUGUUUUAAGAUCUUAUAUGUAAUACCAUUCCCAAGCCCUCUCUGAUCUCUAAUGAAAAAGAAAAUCGAUAUAUAUAGAUAGAUGUUUAUAGGUUCAUAUAUAUAUCAUCCAUUGAGCACUACGCACUAAACAUUUAACAUACAUUACUUGAUUUGGUGGCUUUCCAAAGAUUCUAUGGUUUCCAAUGUGUUAACUUUUCUCACAGAUUUAUGUAAUGAGAGAUCUAGGAAAAAAUACUUCCUCUUAUUCAAAGCCUUGGUGUCCUGUGGUCUGUGGGGAUGGUGCCUCCUAGGGGUGUGUAGGAGUAACUGGUCCUACUCAGGAUGCUCAGAAUCUGCAAGGUGGGGUGGCCGCCUCCUCACUAAACAUGCUGAAAUGGCCACAGGCCUAGCUCAAAAAAUUACUGGAAUAGCUUGGAACUCACAAGGCAAAUUUCAAAAAUGAUGAGAAAAGCAGGUCAAAGCCCAGUUCAAGUCUAAAUGUAAAAUGUUGCAACACCAAAGAGGAAGAUGGAAUUGGCUUGGAGAAGUUGUCUUCAAGACCAGAAACAGCAGAAAACCAAGAACCACAAAGAUAAGAAUGAAUACAAGUUUAUGUUUAAAGAGAUCCAAUAAGAUUUUGAAAAGGGAACUGAGGACAUCUGUCUUUGUCUGGGUCACACUAACCAAUUAAGAAAAAGGAGCCACCAAUGACAAAAGCUCAACACUCAGAGGCCCUUACUGUCAGCUGUUACCGGCCAACUGCAU
This 5177-nucleotide long non-coding RNA is filed under the name Homo sapiens (human). RNAcentral's name for it is "HSALNT0309436". The record is from RNAcentral. Lineage: Eukaryota; Metazoa; Chordata; Mammalia; Primates; Hominidae.